Molecule: ribosomal RNA, 624 nt
Filed under: Gillisella vitis
Lineage: Bacteria; Pseudomonadati; Pseudomonadota; Alphaproteobacteria; Hyphomicrobiales; Rhizobiaceae
Description: bacterial SSU rRNA
Rfam family: Bacterial small subunit ribosomal RNA
Source: RNAcentral
GCCUCGCAAGAGGAGCGGCAGACGGGUGAGUAACGCGUGGGAAUCUACCGUACCCUACGGAAUAGCUCCGGGAAACUGGAAUUAAUACCGUAUACGCCCUUUGGGGGAAAGAUUUAUCGGGGUAUGAUGAGCCCGCGUUGGAUUAGCUAGUUGGUGGGGUAAAGGCCUACCAAGGCGACGAUCCAUAGCUGGUCUGAGAGGAUGAUCAGCCACAUUGGGACUGAGACACGGCCCAAACUCCUACGGGAGGCAGCAGUGGGGAAUAUUGGACAAUGGGCGCAAGCCUGAUCCAGCCAUGCCGCGUGAGUGAUGAAGGUCUUAGGAUUGUAAAGCUCUUUCACCGAUGAAGAUAAUGACGGUAGUCGGAGAAGAAGCCCCGGCUAACUUCGUGCCAGCAGCCGCGGUAAUACGAAGGGGGCUAGCGUUGUUCGGAAUUACUGGGCGUAAAGCGCACGUAGGCGGAUAAUUAAGUCAGGGGUGAAAUCCCGCAGCUCAACUGCGGAACUGCCUUUGAUACUGGUUAUCUUGAGUAUGGAAGAGGUAAGUGGAAUUGCGAGUGUAGAGGUGAAAUUCGUAGAUAUUCGCAGGAACACCAGUGGCGAAGGCGGCUUACUGGUCCAUUAC